Long non-coding RNA from Gasterosteus aculeatus aculeatus (three-spined stickleback), 980 nucleotides. NCBI's taxonomy places the organism in Eukaryota, Metazoa, Chordata, Actinopteri, Perciformes, Gasterosteidae. The record is from Ensembl.
CUGACAGCCUCUCGAGGCACACCAGUGUGCCGCGGCAAAAAAAUAAAAAUAAAACUGCAUUAGACGUAGAAAAUGAUCAAAUCCCUAAUAACAAGUCUGGGAGGUUUACAGAGUUAGCUAGUUUGUUUUUAGUAAUUUUGCAACAGCAGACAGGAUCUCCGUGGAGGAUGUCUUGCUUGCCCGCUCUCCUCUUGAUGAGGUAGCAGGGAGAAGACGGUAAAAGGAUCCACAGACCCACCACAGCCACUGGACACUAACCAGCAUAUCCAAACUGUGUCAAAAUGUGGAAGCUCACUCUAACUGCAGGUCUCUGUUUGAUCAUCGCCAGCUUGGGUGUACCUGGCUUUGCGAGAAAUCUUCGAGUUUACAAAACAUCACAUGGAAACCCUUGUUAUGGAAGACCAGAUGGGCUGUACCCCAACCCCAAUGAUCAGCACUCGUAUUACAACUGUGUUUGGGGACGCACCUACAUCCAAAAGUGCCCAGAACAUUUGGUGUAUAGGCAUUCCAUAACUGCUUGUUACUAUCCUGGAUCACCUGUAACAGGCAGUUCAUCUCAUGAAAUCUGUGAUCCCAUGACUACAACCAGUACUCCCACCAUGACUCCCAUGACCACCAGUCGCCCCACCACAACAAUUGCAACAACAACUCACCGUACGACAACAACAAACACGCCCACUACCACCACUAACACCCACCCAGAGCCACCUACUAAAUAAUUUGCACACCUCUGUUAUGGAAAGGCAGGCAGAUACUUUCCUCAUCCAACGGACCCAACACAAUAUAUCCAAUGUGCCAUUCAAGGAAGAGUUUUCAUCCAGUCGUGUGCAGCGGGUUUGACCUUUAAACCGGCAUUCAGUGUCUGUACUUAGAAAUGCGGUCAAGUGUGUCAAUACAUCUGGCCGUGUAUUUACAAUUGUUGUCUUAUAAUUCAAGGUAAUCUAAAUCAGUCUGGUGUGCCUCUUGUUUUUCCACUGCCU